AAGUCGUAACAAGGUAACCGUAGGUGAACCUGCGGUUGGAUCAUUAAUGAUUUUAUUAAUGGGUGAUAAUCUCUACGCUAACCCGUAGUCGAUUUGAUCCCUGAACCUAAUGUGAACUGUUAAAGUCUCUGGCGAGACUUUGAGCUCGCCAGUAUUAUCUCAACAUGUUUAGUAGUACCUAGUCUUAUUUUAAUAAAACUAAUAUGAAACAACUUUUGACAACGGAUCUCUUGGCUCUC
This 239-nucleotide unclassified non-coding RNA is filed under the name fungal sp. Its description in RNAcentral is "partial internal transcribed spacer region". The stretch from base 1 to 46 matches the Rfam family "Eukaryotic small subunit ribosomal RNA", at positions 1786 to 1831 of the family's 1831-position model. Lineage: Eukaryota; Fungi. The record is from RNAcentral.